RNAcentral lists this unclassified non-coding RNA (332 nucleotides) under soil metagenome. Its description in RNAcentral is "partial contains 5.8S ribosomal RNA, internal transcribed spacer 2, and large subunit ribosomal RNA". The stretch from base 1 to 120 matches the Rfam family "5.8S ribosomal RNA", at positions 35 to 154 of the family's 154-position model. The record is from RNAcentral.
GAUGAAGAACGUAGCGAAAUGCGAUAAGUAAUGUGAAUUGCAGAAUUCAGUGAAUCAUCGAAUCUUUGAACGCACAUUGCGCCCCCUGGUAUUCCGGGGGGCAUGCCUGUUCGAGCGUCAUUUCACCACUCAAGCCUCGCUUGGUAUUGGGCAACGCGGUCCGCCGCGUGCCUCAAAUCGACCGGCUGGGUCUUCUGUCCCCUAAGCGUUGUGGAAACUAUUCGCUAAAGGGUGCUCGGGAGGCUACGCCGUAAAACGCCCAACUUUCUUAGAGUUGACCUCGGAUCAGGUAGGAAUACCCGCUGAACUUAAGCAUAUCAAUAAGCGGAGGA